UUCAGAGCUUGUAGAAGGAAUUAGAAGGCACAAGUGGGUAGUGAGAGUCUGUUCAAAUAAUUGAGCACAUCCAUAGGCACAGAUAGGUUAAUUUGGGUGGAUUUGGCAAAUGUUAUUCCAACCAUUUGUGACUUUCUGCUGUGACUUCAAUUGCCAUGAAGAUGCCAGCCUAGGUGUUCAAUCUUCUGGUAAAAGUCAGUGGAAAGAGUCCUAGCAUCCAGUUACCAUGCUGCCACGAGUCAGUCAGUCCAUAUCCCUAAACAGCACCCGAUCAAUACACUGCAAAGUCCAAGCCAAGCAGACAAUCAUUCUCUGUCUCCUUUAACAUUGCCUUUGUUGGUUGAAGAAUGUCACCACCAUUGUUUUUCCUGUCUAGCAUCUCACCUGACAGCGCAUGGCAUCCUUUGUCCCAUCUUUUAAGCAGGAUCCCUAUAGUCCUUCCUUGGUCAUUCUAUUAUAGUUUAUGAUUAAGAGGACUCCAGGGCAGAGCUGCAUUGCGGCUUUGCACAAGGGUAAGAAUGAAGCAAAAUGUGUUAAUAACAUAAUGUAAAUAAAAUGUGUUCAUUAACAAAUUAUUAACAGUUUGUUAAAAGUGUAUGUUAAUACUAACUCUUGACAACACACUGCUUUUUUAACCCAUUCUAAAAUUCAAGUAAGCUUGCUUGCCUUUUUUAAAAUAUACAAAUAUUUUAUUUGAGGCAGAAUGAGGACUAAAUCUACACUAGGGAUAGUUUUAGGGAAGCCCAGUUGAUAUGUUCACAACUGACUUUAAUAUUGUGACAUAUUUUGUAUAUGUAUAUUAAUAUGUAAUUUAAUGAAAUUCAUAUUAGUCCCUGUGGUAAAUACAUUCCAAACUAUUUGUGUAAAUAACAUUAAAGUAGAGAGUUACAUAC
Molecule: long non-coding RNA, 893 nt
Filed under: Rattus norvegicus (Norway rat)
Lineage: Eukaryota; Metazoa; Chordata; Mammalia; Rodentia; Muridae
Description: long non-coding RNA NONRATT020419
Source: RNAcentral